RNAcentral lists this ribosomal RNA (569 nucleotides) under uncultured bacterium. RNAcentral describes it as "partial 16S ribosomal RNA". It matches the Rfam family "Bacterial small subunit ribosomal RNA", at positions 355 to 914 of the family's 1533-position model. The record is from RNAcentral.
UGGGGAAUUUUGGACAAUGGGGGAAAGCCUGAUCCAGCAAUGCCGCGUGUGUGAAGAAGGCCUUCGGGUUGUAAAGCACUUUUGUCCGGAAAGAAAUCCUUGGCUCUAAUACAGUCGGGGGAUGACGGUACCGGAAGAAUAAGCACCGGCUAACUACGUGCCAGCAGCCGCGGUAAUACGUAGGGUGCAAGCGUUAAUCGGAAUUACUGGGCGUAAAGCGUGCGCAGGCGGUUUGCUAAGACCGAUGUGAAAUCCCCGGGCUCAACCUGGGAACUGCAUUGGUGACUGGCAGGCUAGAGUAUGGCAGAGGGGGGUAGAAUUCCACGUGUAGCAGUGAAAUGCGUAGAGAUGUGGAGGAAUACCGAUGGCGAAGGCAGCCCCCUGGGCCAAUACUGACGCUCAUGCACGAAAGCGUGGGGGAGCAAACAGGAUUAGGUACCCUGGUAGUCCACGCCCUAAACGAUGUCAACUAGUUGUUGGGGGAUUCAUUUCCUUAGUAACGUAGCUAACGCGUGAAGUUGACCGCCUGGGGGAGUACGGUCGCAAGAUUAAAACUCAAAUGAAUUGAC